This 253-nucleotide ribosomal RNA is filed under the name uncultured bacterium. Its description in RNAcentral is "partial 16S ribosomal RNA". It matches the Rfam family "Bacterial small subunit ribosomal RNA", at positions 524 to 776 of the family's 1533-position model. The record is from RNAcentral.
UACGGAGGUGGCAAGCGUUGCUCGGAAUCACUGGGCGUAAAGGGCGCGUAGGCGGGGAGGUAAGUCGGGUGUGAAAUCCCUCGGCCCAACUGAGGAACUGCGCCCGAGACUGCUUCUCUUGAGUCCCGGAGAGGAAGAUGGAAUUCCCGGUGUAGCGGUGAAAUGUGUAGAGAUCGGGAGGAACACCGGUGGCGAAGGCGGCCUUCUGGACAGUGACUGACGCUGAGACGCGAAAGCGUGGGGAGCAAACAGG